UACGUAGGGGGCAAGCGUUGUCCGGAAUCAUUGGGCGUAAAGAGCGUGUAGGCGGCCCGAUAAGUCCGCUGUGAAAGUCCAGGGCUCAACCCUGGAAUGCCGGUGGAUACUGUCGGGCUCGAAUCCGGAAGAGGCAAGUGGAAUUCCUGGUGUAGCGGUGGAAUGCGCAGAUAUCAGGAGGAACACCAACGGCGAAGGCAGCUUGCUGGGACGGUACUGACGCUAAGGCGCGAAAGCGUGGGGAGCGAACAGG
Molecule: ribosomal RNA, 253 nt
Filed under: uncultured bacterium
Lineage: Bacteria
Description: partial 16S ribosomal RNA
Rfam family: Bacterial small subunit ribosomal RNA
Source: RNAcentral